RNAcentral lists this ribosomal RNA (253 nucleotides) under uncultured bacterium. RNAcentral describes it as "partial 16S ribosomal RNA". It matches the Rfam family "Bacterial small subunit ribosomal RNA", at positions 524 to 776 of the family's 1533-position model. The record is from RNAcentral.
GACGUAGGAGGCGAGCGUUGUCCGGAUUCAUUGGGCGUAAAGCGCGCGCAGGCGGUUUUUCAAGUCAGUGGUGAAAGCCCGGAGCUCAACUCCGGAACUGCCAUUGAAACUGUAAAACUUGAGGACGAGAGAGGUGAGUGGAAUUCCCAGUGUAGAGGUGAAAUUCGUAGAUAUCAGGAGGAACACCGGUGGCGAAGGCGGGUCUCUGGGCAGUAACUGACGCUGAGGAGCGAAAGCGUGGGGAGCGAACAGG